UUUCAUUAUUUCCAAUAGUUGCCAAUGAGUAAAGAACCAUAAAGCUUCCCCUAAACAUAACGUUAAAGUAAUUUCAGAUGUUGCCAACCUCCAUGCACCGUAUAGCAAAACGCGAAUGAUUAGAGAAUAGACGAAACUAUCAACAAUUUCAAAGUUAUGACUGUCGUGGAAGUCAAUUCGAUGACUGUUUGUUUGAUGACAGGAGAUAUUUUGUCUUAUACUCGUUCAAUACCAGAUCCCUACGCUUCACUGCCUUAUCCAGUAUGGAGAGGUCCUAGAAGACUAUACUGCCGUCUGGAAACUUUAACUAGGCUUGAAACACAUCAUCACAACGUGCGAGUUUUUUGAUCCUGAGACAAGUAAUGAUAUUGAUGAAAUUUCUGGAAUCUAGUACUACAGACAUUAUGCG
Molecule: long non-coding RNA, 409 nt
Organism: Ceratitis capitata (Mediterranean fruit fly)
Lineage: Eukaryota; Metazoa; Arthropoda; Insecta; Diptera; Tephritidae
Exons: 3
Source: RefSeq, a predicted model, not a curated record